Molecule: ribosomal RNA, 349 nt
Filed under: uncultured bacterium
Lineage: Bacteria
Description: bacterial SSU rRNA
Rfam family: Bacterial small subunit ribosomal RNA
Source: RNAcentral
AGAGUUUGAUCCUGGCUCAGGAUGAACGCUAGCUACAGGCUUAACACAUGCAAGUCGAGGGGAAACGACAUCGAAAGCUUGCUUUUGAUGGGCGUCGACCGGCGCACGGGUGAGUAACGCGUAUCCAACCUGCCCAUCACUUGGGGAUAACCUUGCGAAAGUAAGACUAAUACCCAAUGACGUCUCUAGAAGACAUCUGAAAGAGAUUAAAGAUUUAUCGGUGAUGGAUGGGGAUGCGUCUGAUUAGCUUGGUUGGCGGGGUAAGGCCACCAAGGCGACGAUCAGUAGGGUUCUGAGAGGAGUCCCCCANAUUGGAACUGAGACACGGUCCAAACUCCUACGGGAGGCA